This 908-nucleotide ribosomal RNA is filed under the name Neostyriaca whateliana whateliana. Its description in RNAcentral is "Clausilia whateliana whateliana partial 16S ribosomal RNA". The stretch from base 371 to 617 matches the Rfam family "Archaeal large subunit ribosomal RNA", at positions 1787 to 2143 of the family's 2987-position model. Lineage: Eukaryota; Metazoa; Mollusca; Gastropoda; Stylommatophora; Clausiliidae. The record is from RNAcentral.
UUGAACUAAAAUUUUUAUGGUUUUAAUUGCCCGAAGUGAAAAGAGCUAACUAAAUUAAUUGUGCCUUUUAGGGAAAUAAACGAAAUGUAGCAAAAUUUCUGUAUAUAGGCUUAGUUAGGAGUGAUAGGCUUCUCAUUUUUCAUUUAUAACUGGAUUAAACUUAAAAAUAUUAAGUAUUUAGGACAAACUCACAAAUCUAAGCUUUUGAGUUUUAUAAAAUAUGGUUAAAUACUAAGUAAAAUAAUUUUAUUAAUAUAAUAUUAACUAACUUAGUAAACAAUAAGUAUACUUUCUUUUUAGUGUCUUACGUUUAUAUAUUCAAGAAAAAUACUAUAAGUUUCAAUAUAAAUAAUGUUUAAAUGAGUAUAAAAGUUUUUAAAAAAAUAAAGGAACUCGGCAAAAAUUAUCUUCAACUGUUUACCAAAAACAUAGCUAGUCGGAUAUAUAACUAGCGUGCUCUGCCCGGUGAUAUAAAAUUUAACGGCCGCAGUACACUGACUGUGCAAAGGUAGCAUAAUCAAUUGGCUAUUAAUUGUAGUCGAGUAUGAAAGAGUCCAUGGGGAAAAGCUGUCUUUAUUUUUUUUUCUAAAAUUUACUAAGCAAGUGCAAAUUCUUGCAGUACACCCAUAAUAGACGAGAAGACCCUAUAAAUUUUUACUAUACAGGUUAUAUUCACCUAAGCCAUUUUUGUUGGGGCAACAAAUUAACAGAAUAAAGUAAAUUUAAUUAUAAUAACUAAAAAUACAACGGGUUUUACUAAAAAUAACUAAAUUACUAUAGGGAUAACAGCAUAAUUUUAAUAGUAAGAUUGUGACCUCGAUGUUGGAUUAGGAACUUACCAAAUUAACAGUUUGACUAAGGAGUUCUGUUCGAACUUUUGAUACCUACAUGAUCUGAGUUCAGACCGG